Small nuclear RNA from Sorex fumeus (smoky shrew), 102 nucleotides. The record is from RefSeq and is a predicted model, not a curated record. Lineage: Eukaryota; Metazoa; Chordata; Mammalia; Eulipotyphla; Soricidae.
GUGCUCGCUUCGACAGCACAUAUACUAAAAUUGGAAUGAUACAGAGAAGAUUGGCCCCUGCACAAGGAUGACAUGCAAAUUCGUGAAGCAUUCCAUAUUUAA